Ictidomys tridecemlineatus (thirteen-lined ground squirrel) is the source of this 656-nucleotide non-coding RNA. The record is from RefSeq and is a predicted model, not a curated record. NCBI's taxonomy places the organism in Eukaryota, Metazoa, Chordata, Mammalia, Rodentia, Sciuridae.
GUCCCUGGGGAAGGUGGAGGAGGAGGACGGGGGCAGGGGAGUUCCAGGCCUUCUGCUCCCUCUGGGAGGAAGCUGCUUUCAGUUUUCAGCCCUCGGAAAAUUCCAGAGAGAGGGCCUGGGGAUGUGUGCUCCGUGACUGGGUUUCAUCUGAUACUGACCGUGCAAAUACAUGGUCAAAGGACAGGGCCGAGGCCAUUCUGAGGAGCAGGUGGAGUGGACGUAGAGGGCUACAGCAGUAAUGCGAUGAGAAAGGAAAAUGGCUUUUGACCUCCGGAUUUUUAAUAUAUUCACAAGCUGACUUAAAAUGACAGAGCCCGGAGAUUUUUGCCUUUGGGCAUGCUGUGCCUCACUUUAUCCUGUCAGUUCCCUGGUGAUCUUUUCUGACCUUAAAAGGGUUUUUUUGUUUAAAGCCCUCGACUUUGGAAAAGUUUAAAUCAGGAAUGUUUUGGACUUCAAAGUGAUCUGUAGCUGGGAGAUUAUUUCUGGCAUGUGUCAUAAUGACAAGUCUCAGGAUUGGGAGGAGGAGUGCUCCCUGGGUGGUUCCAUGGAAGUAGCAGUGUUUGGGUCAUUGUUCACUUAAGCCCCUUUAUUGUCAUCAAAUCUAGGAAUAUCUCAUUGUGAGAGUUAAUGCCUGUAAAUAAACCUUUCUAACAAUG